Molecule: non-coding RNA, 3687 nt
Organism: Macaca mulatta (Rhesus monkey)
Lineage: Eukaryota; Metazoa; Chordata; Mammalia; Primates; Cercopithecidae
Source: RefSeq, a predicted model, not a curated record
UUCUUAUCUGUAAAAUGAAUGCAUUAGGGUUGAUAAGUCUUCCUAUAUCUGGUGUUCUUUGAUUCUACCAUUCCCUGUUUAAGCCAGAGCCUAGGAAUGUAGAUCUGGAGGCUGUUUCUGUUUUAGAUUGUGGACUAGAAAUUAAGCACACACUGCCCCAACUCCCCCAGCUGCCUGAGACUUGAGAAAAAGUGAGACUGUAGCCCUUCGAGUUGGCGUUAGAGCUCUCCGUGGCAUUAACCUGUUGUUGGUCUAACGUGUGGGGCCGGAGGAAACGUGCUCGCAAUCUGUGAACAUGGUUGCUGCUGAACAAACGCGUUUUGCUUUCUUUCUUUUCCUUUUUUUCUUUUUCCCAGGAGUGAGGAGGGGGAGGAAAAAACCGGUCUUUGUUGUGAAGCCACGGUCCCAAACUUGAACCUAGAGGAAUGUUACAGCUCUGAAAAAAAGUUAGGGAGCAGCCUUGCAAUUAAGCACUCAGUCACAACAAGAGGGUAAGAACGUUCAAGGCACUGGAUUGAAGAGACACAAAAGUCAGGAAAUGACCCUUUCGUCGGGAUUUCAGAGGCCGCAGAGGAGAAACAAAGUCCUCUCACAACUUGGGAAACUUCGGACCGUACCAUCCCGAGGGGGCAGGGGUGGGGGAGGCCGGGAGAGGGCAGUGGAAAUUGACAUCUUCGCUCCCAACGAGCCGUGAGUAAACUGAGGAUUUCCCGGCUGAAAGGACUCAGUGUCUGCCUGUCCCCGGCCCAGAAAUGAAAGCGAGUUUCAGCCGAUCCUCAUUGUGGAGCCUGCUGAAAAAGCAGCCCGGGUCGCCCCGGCCAGCCCCGGCGUCCUGAAUCGGAUCCCUGUGCGCGCCAGGCCGGGCCGCGCGCCCGGGUUGCAGGAUGGCGUGCCCAGGCCAGCCCAUCUGCGGCCGCGGGCCGGCGGGGAGGAAGCGUCCCUGGGGAUGAAUGGGGCUUUGUUCGUAGGCAGCCGCGGCUACCCUCUGCAGGCCCGGCCCGCACAACAGAGGCUGUAUGCGACAGGAAUGGAAAUGAGCCUCAGGCCCUGCCCAAGGAGCCCCAUCCCCUUCCCCGCGCAGGGCUGAGGAAUGCUGGCCAGCCGGAAAGGAACCCUCGCGGGGAACGCCGCUCUCGCGCCUCUGAAACCCCAUUGAGAAGAACCCUUUGAUGCAAUUAAAGCGUAUUUCAUUGCAGGCCUGGGAGGAGGGAACGACCGGCAAGCUUUUUUCUGUCUCGGACGUGUGUGUGCACCUUUGUGGGCCGGGUUACUUCGAGAGCAGGCAGGAACUUGAGCUCCCUCUCUCGCAGACGUUCUGUAACAUCAGAAACGCGUACCCAGAAGCAGAUUGGUUUUCACCAGGGGUGGGAUCCAAUUUGGACACCAUCCAGGCUGACCUGCAGGCCGGGGUUCCUACUUUGAAAGGCUCUUUGGUGCGCCUUACACCCACCUUCCCUGCUGUAAAGGUUUAGGCGGAAAAGAAAUUGCGUUUGCAGGAGGAAGUUGUUUCUGAGGUUACCGCUCAGCAUUUUCCAUUUUCUCAGUGGUGGGGUGGGCUGUGUCGCCUAUCGAGAAGUGAUGUCACAGCCAGACCUGCAAAGUGAUGUAACCUGCAAGUGUUGAAGGACGACGAGGGGACAGCUAUUUUGAUACUCGUAUUAUUUUAUAACAUUUCCCUACUUUUUCCAUCGAGACAACUGUGUGACCUCAGAAAAUCCACACAGCCUCUCUGAGCUUAAUAUUUGUGGUAUGUUAAAGUGAAUAUCACAAAGCCAGGGAACAAACGUCGUGAAGUUCUGAGUGCUUGUGGAAUUCUUUCCGAGUUGGAGGUGGACACGUUAUAUACCUGCACACGUGGAAGAUACGUGGGACUGGAACUCCAGUAAACAAAGAGAUCCCAUUGGGGCCUCUGUUUGGUUGCCUUUGUGUCACUUUUUACUAGGGCUAAUUGUCUAAUGUGUCCUUCCACUAGUGUAUGCCUCCUUGAGAACGUGAACCUUUAAACAACAACAGCAACAAAACAACAACAACAAACGAAGACAGAGUCCUGCACGCUCUUCCAGGCUAGAGUGUAGUGUGCAAUCAUCGCAGCCUGCAGUAUGCCGGCCUCAAGCUAUCCUGCCGCCCCACCUUGGCCUCCUGAAGGGCUCCAAUUACAGGAGGGAGACACUGCACCCAGCCAAACCUGUCUUUUUUUCUGUAUCUCCUGUGCCCAGAGCAGUCCCUGGCCCUGAUAAGGGUUCAACAAAUAUGUCUAAUGAAUGAACGAAUACAUUCAGGAGUGUAGGGAUUGAUACUAACUUGCUGGCUGUUUUCUGUUCCUUAUAAAUCUAAAUAAGAAAUAGGGAGAGCAUGGUAGGUCUUUGGGGUCCUCGGGCGAGGCAUAAGUUCAGGAGAAGUUUGAAGGAAAGGGUUGGAAAACAUUUCUGAGAGCAAAAACAUGCUACAAGUGUUUCCUGAAAUGACCCAAAGGAGAGCGCGGCACUCAGGUGGAGGAGUCACUUUUUCCAAACCCAUGCUGUGGACUUCAAGCUCCAGCAUCGUGCACAAAGACAACAGCCUUACAAGGACUGCUUAACCAGCCCCCAUUGUGUCAGAUAAAGAAAUUGAGACAGAAAAUUAGGCAAUUUUCUCAUAAUACGUAAGAAGUGGUGCCAGGAAAGAAAUGGAAACCAGGCUGCUUGAAUCUGGAACUCAGAAUACUGUUUGAGAAGUGUUCUCCAGCUGGUCGUGGGGAAAAAGUCAGAAAUUUGAAGCAAAGGAAGGAUGUGAAUGCCACUGCUGGCUUUGAAGAGGAGAAAGGCCAAUGCAAGGAGCAGAGAUCAGCCUUUAGGACCUGUGACCAACUCCCCACUGAGAGCAAGGAAAGCAGGGACCUCAGUCCUGCCGAUCAUAAGGAACUAAACUCUGCCACCAACUUGAAUGUGCUUUGCAGAUCCUUUGAUUCCAUGGAAGGCAUGCCCAAGUCUAAGGUCCUCCUAACACUCAACUGGUUUGGGAACCAUCGGGCCCAGUGAUCUCUGAUGCUCCUUCCAACUUGUAGGAUGUGAAUUCCUGGGUUUAGUUAUAUAAGAGAAGGGAGAGCAAGAUGGCCAAAUAGAAGCCUCCAGCAAUUAUACCCCCCACAGGAACAACAAAUUAAGCAACACAAACAAGAAAAUCACCUUCAUAAAAUUGAGAAAUCAGCUAGGAAUGACCAAGGCAAAACUUCCAUCUACUUGCAUCAGAAUGGAGACGCAGAUGCAGAUGACGAAUUAAAGGGACUCAAGGAAGGUCACUAUUCUGCCUUGAAUUUGUUUUCAUGGUUCUCCGAGAAGUGUCUAGAGGUGAGAAAGUCAAUUUAACUGAUUAUUUUCUAAAAAUAGAAUAAACAGAAAAUUUUGUUUAAAAAAUAUUUUCUUAGCAUAGUGAAGUACAACAUUUUCUAUAGUUAUCCACAGUACUUUAAGAAAUUUACAAUGUACUGCUAGAACUUUGAGUGAAACUUAGGAAUUUUAUGUGCUUUGGAUGAAAGAUGACAGCAAAAAAUUAUACAAUUUUAGUUCAUUUGCAUUAAAAUAUUCUUACAACAGAGCAUGGAAUCCAAUAAUAAAACCCAGGGAAAAUCAUUCUAAUUUUAGGAGAAAAAUUAACACCUACCUACCCUACAACCUCACAAUUAAAAUCUGGUGGAAUUCUAUAACCUUC